AUUGAACGCUGGCGGCAGGCCUAACACAUGCAAGUCGAACGAGUGGCGGACGGGUGAGUAAUGUCUGGGAAACUGCCCGAUGGAGGGGGAUAACUACUGGAAACGGUAGCUAAUACCGCAUACCAUCGGAUGUGCCCAGAUGGGAUUAGCUAGUAGGUGGGGUAACGGCUCACCUAGGCGACGAUCCCUAGCUGGUCUGAGAGGAUGACCGGCCAAACUGGAACGGAGACAGGGUCCAGACUCCUACGGAAGGCAGCGUGGGGGAAUAUUGCACAAUGGGCGCAAGCCUGAGGCAGCCAGGCCGCGGGGAUGUAGAAGGCCUUCGGGUUGUAAAGUACUUUCAGCGAGGAGGCGGUACUCGCAGAAGAAGCACCGGCUAACUCCGUGCCAGCAGCCGCGGUAAUAC
RNAcentral lists this ribosomal RNA (406 nucleotides) under uncultured bacterium. RNAcentral describes it as "partial 16S ribosomal RNA". It matches the Rfam family "Bacterial small subunit ribosomal RNA", at positions 29 to 526 of the family's 1533-position model. The record is from RNAcentral.